AAGUCAUGUUGAGAGCAAUGUUGUAGCAAUCUCUUGUAGCGCUCCCAAGCUUCGUAUAACGAGUCCCCCUAUAAUUGUUUGAAAAUUUGGAUAUUUCUCUUGAGUUU
Molecule: small nucleolar RNA, 107 nt
Organism: Lactuca sativa (garden lettuce)
Lineage: Eukaryota; Viridiplantae; Streptophyta; Magnoliopsida; Asterales; Asteraceae
Source: RefSeq, a predicted model, not a curated record